GAUGAAGAACGCAGCGAAAUGCGAUAAGUAAUGUGAAUUGCAGAAUUCAGUGAAUCAUCGAAUCUUUGAACGCACCUUGCGCCCUUUGGACUUCUGAAGGGCAUGCCUGUUUGAGUAUCAUGAACACCUCAACUCCUUAUGGUCUUCCAUGAUGAGCUUGGACUUUGGGGGUUUUGCUGGCCUACAGUCAGCUCCUCUAAAAUAAAUCAGCUUACCGGUGUUUGGUGGGUAUCAUGGGUGUGAUAACUAUCUACGCUCGUGGUUUUCCACCAGGUAACCUUCAGCAGUGGAGGUUCACUGGAGCUCAUAAAUGUCUCUCCUCAGCGAGGACAGCCCUUUGAAUGUUUGAUCUCAAAUCAGGUAGGACUACCCGCUGAACUUAAGCAUAUCAAUAAGCGGAGGA
RNAcentral lists this unclassified non-coding RNA (403 nucleotides) under soil metagenome. Its description in RNAcentral is "partial contains 5.8S ribosomal RNA, internal transcribed spacer 2, and large subunit ribosomal RNA". The stretch from base 1 to 120 matches the Rfam family "5.8S ribosomal RNA", at positions 35 to 154 of the family's 154-position model. The record is from RNAcentral.